Molecule: long non-coding RNA, 1301 nt
Organism: Eriocheir sinensis (Chinese mitten crab)
Lineage: Eukaryota; Metazoa; Arthropoda; Malacostraca; Decapoda; Varunidae
Exons: 3
Source: RefSeq, a predicted model, not a curated record
AGCAAGGCAAGAACAACAACCAAACUAUGCAACCAACCAGUCUCGGGCCUUCAGUGUCUCUCUGGCCGGCGAAGAGAGAGGGCGCACGCCGCUGAUCUCCGGGCCCGUGACUUUGACUCUUGGCUUCGGAAAGUCGACAUAAUUUCUCGAACUAGCACCGCGUCCUUGGCUAUUCCCGUGACCCAAGGCGACCGGUGGUGCCACGAAGGCCUACGGUGACGCCUCUGAAGUGCUGAGUGACGGAAAAUACGAUAGAGAGAUAAAAAAGGGAGGAUUCGAACCCGCUGCGUCCUGAGUGAUCGUGAUGUAUCGGUGAAAAGUGUUGUGUCGAGUGCGCUGAAGCUUCGCCCAGAGUGGUCGUUGAGGGGCUCGAUCGUGGGUUCACCGGCGCGCGGAGCAAAAACUUAAAAAGAAAAAGAUCGGAAGAGAGAGAAAAAAAAGUUAGCAAGUACUGGAGGAUCAUUGAGCAGGAAGGAGAUCUAAGAAAUUUACUGAGGUGACUUGUGGGAAAUCGGUGACCUGACCUCGGUUGACCUGGGCUGCCCCGUGAAGCAUGUGGUGGGCGGCGGUGGUGGUGGCGGUGGUGGUGAUGGAGGGCGCUGCAGGCCGGCUCGAGAAACGGAGGAUGAAGACCGUGCCCACGUUGAGGAGGAGGAGGAGGCGUCGUAGUACUGUCCUUUUCGUCACUUAGUACGCCACUGCGGGAACGUCCAGCAACCAGACCCCUUGAAGAAUAUUUUCCAUGUGUCGUGAGCGGCGGGGUCAUCAGCCUACCAGGGACACUUAAAGGAGAGCGUCGAGGUACUGCUACAGGGGAACACCACGACGCUCUUUGAAGGGAAACGGUACCUUCGUGUUGCAGGGGUCGUGCUAGAUGGAAAGGGGUGAGAAUAUAAUAAAGGAUAGUAAUGGAAGUUCUCUGUAGGAUCGUUAGAGUCAAAAUACAGUUGAAUGAGGUAUAAUGACCACUUCAAGAGAGCGCUUGCCCCCUUCCAAGUGGCGCUCUUGACCGUCCACGAUUGCUACUUGGACUCUGUUAGUGUAUGUGUGUGUGUGUGUGUGUGUGUGUAUGUGUUGUUGGUGGUAUUUAUUUGUUACUGUUGACAUAUUUAUAAGUAUUUAAAGGUGUAUAUAGUUGUGUGUGUGUGUGUGUGUGUGUGUGUGUGUGUGUGUGUGUGCGUGUGCGUGUGCGUGCGGGCGCUGAGCUGCCACCGUUAAUGAAGCAGCGGAAAAAAAUCGAGAAAAAAAUAUGAGCAGGUCACCGUCUCGCGGGAACCAUUUAAAACUGAUUAAGUGAUGGA